Molecule: ribosomal RNA, 369 nt
Filed under: uncultured bacterium
Lineage: Bacteria
Description: bacterial SSU rRNA
Rfam family: Bacterial small subunit ribosomal RNA
Source: RNAcentral
GUAUGGUGCAAGCGUUAUCCGGAUUUACUGGGUGUAAAGGGAGCGCAGGCGGUGCGGCAAGUCUGAUGUGAAAGCCCGGGGCUCAACCCCGGUACUCAUUGGAAACUGUCGUACUAGAGUGUCGGAGGGGUAAGUGGAAUUCCUAGUGUAGCGGUGAAAUGCGUAGAUAUUAGGAGGAACACCAGUGGCGAAGGCGGCUUACUGGACGAUAACUGACGCUGAGGCUCGAAAGCGUGGGGAGCAAACAGGAUUAGAUACCCUGGUAGUCCACGCUGUAAACGAUGAAUACUAGGUGUUGGAGAGCAUUGCUCUUCGGUGCCGCAGCAAACGCAAUAAGUAUUCCACCUGGGGAGUACGUUCGCAAGAAUG